AAAUGAGAAUGAUUUCAAUACCUUUCUGUAAUUAAAGUAAAUAGCGUAAUUUUUUUUCUCUCCAAGAGAAUUGCUCUCUGGACUCCCUAAAAAUGGGUGGCAUGCUUCUUUUCGCUCAGGUGCUGUCAGUUCAAUCGAAGAUGGCGUCGAAACAUCAAGCACUCCGCGAGCGUGUUGUACGGUUUUACGAAACGCAUGGUCAUCGUGGAAAAAAAUUUACGGUAGACCACUUUCGAGACGAAAACGUACCCGUGAGUAUAGUUUACCGGAUCCUGGCAUCCCUGAGCACGGAGCGGAAGGCCGAGGAAGAAGAAGGAAGCGUUGAAAAAGCUGUUCGACAACAAGGACGGAACGAGUUUGCGUGAUGC
Molecule: long non-coding RNA, 368 nt
Organism: Ochlerotatus camptorhynchus
Lineage: Eukaryota; Metazoa; Arthropoda; Insecta; Diptera; Culicidae
Exons: 2
Source: RefSeq, a predicted model, not a curated record